RNAcentral lists this ribosomal RNA (469 nucleotides) under uncultured bacterium. Its description in RNAcentral is "partial 16S ribosomal RNA". It matches the Rfam family "Bacterial small subunit ribosomal RNA", at positions 28 to 507 of the family's 1533-position model. The record is from RNAcentral.
GACGAACGCUGGCGGCGUGCUUAACACAUGCAAGUCGAACGGAAAGGCCCUGCUUGCAGGGUGCUCGAGUGGCGAACGGGUGAGUAACACGUGGGUGAUCUGCCCCUUACUUUGGGAUAAGCCUGGGAAACUGGGUCUAAUACUGGAUAGGACCAUGCUGUAGGUGGUGUGGUGGAAAGAUUAGUUUCGGUAAGGGAUGAGCUCGCGGCCUAUCAGCUUGUUGGUGGGGUAAUGGCCUACCAAGGCGUCGACGGGUAGCCGGCCUGAGAGGGUGGACAGCCACAUUGGGACUGAGAUACGGCCCAGACUCCUACGGGAGGCAGCAGUGGGGAAUAUUGCACAAUGGGCGCAAGCCUGAUGCAGCGACGCCGCGUGGGGGAUGACGGCCUUCGGGUUGUAAACUCCUUUCUGCCAUGACGAAGCCCUUGUGGUGACGGUAGUGGUAGAAGAAGCACCGGCUAACUACGUG